Molecule: long non-coding RNA, 489 nt
Organism: Scomber scombrus (Atlantic mackerel)
Lineage: Eukaryota; Metazoa; Chordata; Actinopteri; Scombriformes; Scombridae
Exons: 2
Source: RefSeq, a predicted model, not a curated record
UUUCUCUCUAAUGUUAGCUCUAUUUUGGUCUCGACCAACACCUGGGGGAAAUAUCUGGCUUUAUAUGCUAUGUUCAGUUGCUAACUUUAUCUCUCUGUUUCGUGCUACGAAGCUAUAGGUACAGUGGAUUUACUAGAAUUUCUUUGCUGAAAAUAGCUGACUGCUGCUACUGCUGCUGCUGCAGGAAACUGGGUUGAUGAAAGCAUUUGCAACUGAGUCAAAAAGUGAAGUCUUAAAACCAAAACAAUGAGCAGAGAGAAGUUAAAACGGUCCGCAGGGCUGGGAGGAACUGCAAAGUCAGCCAUCCUGUAUCCUGUAUUCAGUUCCCUGUUCCUGUUCCUGUGGUUUAGACCUUCCGCCUGUUUGGGACCUGGCUGCCUGCCUUGCCCCUUUGGACAUGUUUACAUGUUUUGGACUGCCUUCCUGUUACUAAUCUGUAAGCCUGUCUUUUGGAAUUCAUUUAUUAAAGCCUUUCUCAUUUGAUCUGUC